UCUCCGAUGCCCAGAUGAUGCAGACAGCCCUA
This 32-nucleotide non-coding RNA is filed under the name Rattus norvegicus (Norway rat). Lineage: Eukaryota; Metazoa; Chordata; Mammalia; Rodentia; Muridae. The record is from RNAcentral.